UACGGAGGGUGCAAGCGUUAUCCGGAUUCACUGGGUUUAAAGGGUGCGUAGGCGGAUAUGUAAGUCCGUGGUGAAAUCUCUGGGCUUAACCCGGAAACUGCCAUGGAUACUAUGUGUCUUGAAUGUUGUUGAGGUGAGCGGAAUAUGUCAUGUAGCGGUGAAAUGCUUAGAUAUGACAUAGAACACCAAUUGCGAAGGCAGCUCACUACGGGAUUAUUGACACUGAGGCACGAAAGCGUGGGGAUCAAACAGG
This 253-nucleotide ribosomal RNA is filed under the name uncultured bacterium. RNAcentral's name for it is "partial 16S ribosomal RNA". It matches the Rfam family "Bacterial small subunit ribosomal RNA", at positions 524 to 776 of the family's 1533-position model. The record is from RNAcentral.